CUGAGUACGGCGGAACACGUGAAAUUCCGUCGGAAUCCGGGAGGACCAUCUCCCAAGGCUAAAUACUCCCUAGUGACCGAUAGUGAACCAGUACCGUGAGGGAAAGGUGAAAAGCACCCCGGAAGGGGAGUGAAACAGUUCCUGAAACCGUGUGCCUACAAGUAGUUAGAGCCCGUUAAUGGGUGAUAGCGUGCCUUUUGUAGAAUGAACCGGCGAGUUACGAUUUGUUGCAAGGUUAAGCGGAAAAAGCGGAGCCGUAGCGAAAGCGAGUCUGAAUAGGGCGCAUAAGUAACAGGUCGUAGACCCGAAACCAGGUGAUCUACCCAUGUCCAGGAUGAAGGUAAGGUAAUACUUACUGGAGGUCCGAACCCACGCACGUUGAAAAGUGCGGGGAUGAGGUGUGGGUAGCGGAGAAAUUCCAAUCGAACUUGGAGAUAGCUGGUUCUCUCCGAAAUAGCUUUAGGGCUAGCCUCGAGGUAAAGAGUCAUGGAGGUAGAGCACUGUUUGGACUAGGGGCCCUUCUCGGGUUACCGAAUUCAGAUAAACUCCGAAUGCCAUGUACUUAUACUCGGGAGUCAGACUGCGAGUGAUAAGAUCCGUAGUCGAAAGGGAAACAGCCCAGACCACCAGUUAAGGUCCCCAAAUAUAUGUUAAGUGGAAAAGGAUGUGGGGUUGCUUAGACAACCAGGAUGUUGGCUUAGAAGCAGCCACCAUUGAAAGAGUGCGUAAUAGCUCACUGGUCGAGUGACCCCGCGCCGAAAAUGUACCGGGGCUAAACAUAUUACCGAAACUGUGGAUGAACCUCUUUAGAGGUUCGUGGUAGGAGAGCGUUCUAAGGGCGGUGAAGUCAGACCGGAAGGACUGGUGGAGCGCUUAGAAGUGAGAAUGCCGGUAUGAGUAGCGAAAGAAGGGUGAGAAUCCCUUCCACCGAAUAUCUAAGGUUUCCUGAGGAAGGCUCGUCCGCUCAGGGUUAGUCGGGACCUAAGCCGAGGCCGAUAGGCGUAGGCGAUGGACAACAGGUAGAGAUUCCUGUACCAGUGCUAAUUGUUUAACCGAUGGGGUGACACAGAAGGAUAGGGAAUCGCAC
This 1087-nucleotide ribosomal RNA is filed under the name Listeria monocytogenes. Its description in RNAcentral is "partial 23S ribosomal RNA". It matches the Rfam family "Bacterial large subunit ribosomal RNA", at positions 408 to 1495 of the family's 2925-position model. The record is from RNAcentral. Lineage: Bacteria; Bacillati; Bacillota; Bacilli; Caryophanales; Listeriaceae.